AAAUUAAAACAUUUACGAAACAUAAAACUAAUCAUGCGUGCCAUCGUCAUCAUCUUCAUCCCCUUGGUUCCCUCGUUAUUGACUCCAUUAUCAUUUUGUGUCGAUAACAAUUUAAAGAAGUUUGCGAUUCUAUCUUCAUAUGUCGGGUCACUUAGCAUAACAUCAAGACGAUAUGGCUUCAAAGUAAAUAUGUACAUUAGAAAACUUAUAGUUUAAAUCAAUAAAGUAAAAUAAAAGGAAUUUUAAAACUAACAAUUAUCAAAAUAGCAACAAAGAGAAAAAUACAAAUUACCAAAUUAAAUGCUAAACUACCAAAAUAUCAACAUAAACCAAACUACCAAAAUACUAAACUAUCAAAGUAUUUGGAAGCCUUUACAAGUUCAUCAUACGAGUUCUUGCCAAUCUACUCAAAUUAGUUAUUGGUUCGGUGGUUAAAGAAUACCAAACGACUUUCUCAAAAAUCGGCAAACCACCGAAGGUCCACUCCUUGUAAAUGAGAUUAUCUAAUAUGCUAAAACAUACAAGAAAAGUUAAUUCUCUCUAAGUUUGGCUUCCGAAAAGCUUACGACUCCAUCAAUUCACGGUAUUUAGAUGGCAUACUUCAAGCUACCGACUUUGGAAAUAAAUAAAGAGCAUGGAUUCAAGCUUGCCUUACCUCCUCUAGAGCUUCCAUUCCAAUCAAUGGGUUUCUAACCAGAGAGUUCAAAAUGAAGAGUGGCCUUCGCCAAGGCGAUCCUCUUUCUCCAUUCAUUUUCCUUCUAGUCAUGGAAGGUCUCAAUAUGGCUUUUAAUGAGAGAGAGAGAGGUUUUAUCAAAGGUUUCCAAGUUGCAGACGAUGGGAUGUUUG
RNAcentral lists this long non-coding RNA (846 nucleotides) under Lactuca sativa (garden lettuce). RNAcentral's name for it is "long non-coding RNA (LSAT_LNC001628)". Lineage: Eukaryota; Viridiplantae; Streptophyta; Magnoliopsida; Asterales; Asteraceae. The record is from RNAcentral.